This 495-nucleotide ribosomal RNA is filed under the name uncultured bacterium. Its description in RNAcentral is "partial 16S ribosomal RNA". It matches the Rfam family "Bacterial small subunit ribosomal RNA", at positions 28 to 505 of the family's 1533-position model. The record is from RNAcentral.
GAUGAACGCUGGCGGCGUGCCUAAUACAUGCAAGUCGAGCGAACAGAUAAGGAUCUUGCUCCAUUGACGUUAGCGGCGGACGGGUGAGUAACACGUGGAUAACCUACCUAUAAGACUGGGAUAACUUCGGGAAACCGGAGCUAAGACCGGGUAACAUAUUUAACCGCAUGGUUCAAGAGUGAAAGGCGGCUUUGCUGUCACUUAUAGAUGGAUCCGCGCCGUAGUAGCUAGGUGGGAAGGUAACGGCUUACCAAGGAAACGAUACGUAGCCGACCUGAGAGGGUGAUCGGCCACAGUGGAACAGAGACACGGGCCAGACUCAGACGGGAGGCAGAAGUCGGGAAUAUGCCGCAAUGGGGGAAAGCGUGCAGGAGGAACGACGCGUGAGUGAUGAAGGUCUUCGGAUCGUAAAACUCUGUUAUUAGGGAAGAACAAAUGUGUAAGUAAAUGUGCAGAUUUUGGCGGUACGUGAAAAGAAAGCCACGGAUAAAUACG